GACGAACGCUGGCGGCGUGCUUAACACAUGCAAGUCGAACGGAAAGGCCCUGCUUGCCGGGUACUCGAGUGGCGAACGGGUGAGUAACACGUGGGUGAUCUGCCCUGCACUUCGGGAUAAGCCUGGGAAACUGGGUCUAAUACCGGAUAGGAGCCAUUUUUAGUGUGAUGGUUGGAAAGUUUUUUCGGUGUAGGAUGAGCUCGCGGCCUAUCAGCUUGUUGGUGGGGUAAUGGCCUACCAAGGCGGCGACGGGUAGCCGGCCUGAGAGGGUGGACGGCCACAUUAGGACUGAGAUACGGCCCAGACUCCUACGGGAGGCAGCAGUGGGGAAUAUUGCACAAUGGGCGCAAGCCUGAUGCAGCGACGCCGCGUGGGGGAUGACGGCCUUCGGGUUGUAAACUCCUUUCGCUAGGGACGAAGCUUUUUGUGACGGUACCUAGAUAAGAAGCACCGGCUAACUACGUG
RNAcentral lists this ribosomal RNA (465 nucleotides) under uncultured bacterium. RNAcentral describes it as "partial 16S ribosomal RNA". It matches the Rfam family "Bacterial small subunit ribosomal RNA", at positions 28 to 507 of the family's 1533-position model. The record is from RNAcentral.